Mirounga angustirostris (Northern elephant seal) is the source of this 438-nucleotide long non-coding RNA. RefSeq lists it as uncharacterized. NCBI's taxonomy places the organism in Eukaryota, Metazoa, Chordata, Mammalia, Carnivora, Phocidae. The transcript is spliced from 3 exons. The record is from RefSeq and is a predicted model, not a curated record.
ACUAUGUCCAACCUAGCCAUAGUUACAGGGCUCCCCCACACACACCCCGCUUUCCCCUUUCCGACCUAACAGUCUGUUAUGAAGGGAAGGGGAGGCGGGGCUGGGAGACCUGGAAGGGUGGGAAAGGAGCAAGAUUUGAGGUCCGGUCACCAUGUCUACCUGCCAGGCAGUGGGUACAGUGAUGCCCUUUGCGUCCAGCCAAUAAAGUAUUCUAAAUUGCAGAUCUGGAGAGAAGGAACGAGUAAAUCCAGAACUGCCUCUAGUAGCAGCUAAUGGCAAGGAAGCUUCCAGAGGGAGGAGGAGGACUCGGGUCCCUUCCCAAGAAUCCCAGAAGAGUCUGGAGAGUUCUGGGAGGGGCGGCACCCUGGACGCCGAUUGGUCCCAGAAAGCCUGGAGGCAGGACGCGAGACGAAACCCCUGGAAUAUUCCGGACCUGGC